CCGGUCGCGUUCUAAGCCUACCAAAAAUAAAAAUCAUACGAAUCUUCUACGUGUUGAGUCUAGUUUUCAGUUUUGGUCGAGUAAUAACUCGAAAAGUAGUGUUCAGUUCGAUCUGCAUAUCUUGAAAAAGUGCUCGACAAUCAGUAGCUACUGAUGGACCUAUAUCGAAAAUUUUUCCAUAAGCAGCGGUGAGCAAUGUUUUUACCGUGACCAUCACGUGUCGAUGCUCCCGAUCGCCCCCCAAUUCGUCUCGAAGAAUUUGAGAUUUGUACUUGACAGAUGUCAAAGUUGCCCCCAGGUCUUCGCGGUACGGUUCAACUUUCAACAACACUAUAUGCCUACGUUGUGCUGAAAAAUUCCUAUACAGAUGGCAUUUCGCGAUAGAACCAAAUCAGGACAUCAAAGAGUUUCUCCGAAGAUCGAUUCCUCUUCAUCCUGUUUCGGUACGGAUGGAUCUGCGAUACAUGACACGUACAACUUCUUUCUUUGCAGAGGUCGCAGAUCCUCCAACAUUAUAGCCCGGACUCCCCCUGUUCAUCGGGGGGAGUCCAUGGACCGUCCCCUGGGACAGCGCGGCCUCCCACCGCCCCCGGG
This is a long non-coding RNA of Athalia rosae (coleseed sawfly), 594 nucleotides long. RefSeq lists it as uncharacterized. Lineage: Eukaryota; Metazoa; Arthropoda; Insecta; Hymenoptera; Athaliidae. The transcript is spliced from 4 exons. The record is from RefSeq and is a predicted model, not a curated record.